Sciurus carolinensis (gray squirrel) is the source of this 1829-nucleotide long non-coding RNA. RefSeq lists it as uncharacterized. NCBI's taxonomy places the organism in Eukaryota, Metazoa, Chordata, Mammalia, Rodentia, Sciuridae. The transcript is spliced from 4 exons. The record is from RefSeq and is a predicted model, not a curated record.
UAUGAAAAGAACAUGAAUUACAGGGAAUGAAAUUACAGUACAUAAGUGAGACCUAGAUUCUUACUUUAUGGUGACUAUAAUAACUUUCAACAUAUAAGAAGAUUUCAAAGUUCACUGGAUUCUUUCAUUUCCUUUUCGUUUUCCAAUACAAGAAAGAAUAAUCAAGUAGUUCUUUUUAAAUAAUUUUGAAAAAAUAUUAUUUGAUCCCAAAGAAUAGAAUUCACACCUUUUGCUCUCUGCUCUUUUAAGUUCUUCCACAACCUGAUGAAUUGGUAAGGAAAGAUCCAAAACAUAUUCUGGCCUUUAUCUUAGUUCUGUUUGCCAUGAGGUAAAUGCAGUUCCUUCUUUAUUUAUUUGUUUUUGUGGUGCGAGGGUUCGAACCCAGGGCCCUUUACCAACUGAGCUAUCUCCCCAGCCCAAUGUGGUUACUUCUUAAUAGUGAUGUUUAACCUCGGUUCAGUGAAUUCAAUUUUUUUUUUUUUUUUUUUGGUGGGGGCAGCCUUUGGUAGAGUGGGAUACACAUGGGAACUGAGUCUGAGCUUUGACUUGUGUGUUGAAUUCAAAGGGAUGCUUUCUUGUGCUAGAUGAAAGGUAAAAGAUUACUUGCCUAGUUUACCAUCAGCUCUGGGCAGAAUAAUUAUUUGAGGCCUGACAUUUAAUACAACAGCGAUCACAGAUAUUGCCACUGAAAGCUUUACCAACAAAGCAGGAACCAAAGAACCUUACACCAGUGUCUAACUUCAAUUCACUAAAGUGAGGGACAGAGCUGUGAAAUGAGGGUAAACUAUCAAGUGUUUCUUCAACACAAGGGAAAGAACAGUACAGCAAAGAGAACCAUCCAUAUGUAGUAAGAAUGAGCUUACAGGGCACAUGGAGUGCCCAAAUGCAAUGGAAGAGUCUGACUGUGAAGAAUUAGAUAUGUUAUUUUACCCAACCCUGUGGGACCUCACCUCAUGGGAAUGGGGUCUAUGCUGCAACCUCUGAGCAAGGAAUGAACUGGGAUGAAAGGAAAGAGACUGGAUGGCAAAGUUGAAAAAACCAAUGACUUAAAAGAGCUUCUUAGAAAUGGCCAGAACCACAUCUAGAGAAAGAUGACAGAGUCUCUCCAUGUUGUCCAGGCUGGCCUGGAACUUCUGAGUUCAAGCAAUCCUCCUGCCUCAACCUCAGCCUCCAGACUAGCUGGGAUCUGCAGGUGCACAACUCCAGCAAAGAGGUCAGGGGUGCAGCCAGUCUAUCUGUACUUCUAACAAGUGCCUCGAAUGAAUUGUGGACCCUUUCAGAAACACUGCUCUGGAGCAUCUCACAAAAUGCCUUACAUGUGACACUUAUGGAUAAGAAUUAUUUCUUGGUUUUAAUUUUCACCAUAUUGUUAAAGAAGACUUCACGUUUUCAAACCCUCAUGAUUGUGUGAAUUAUGACAGUACUAAUUGACAAUCCAAUUAAUAUAUAUUAAAUUGGCAUGGGUCUAUAGGCUUUUGACUAAAAUGAGAUAUGUGGGAUCUUAUGGAAACACUUUGAUUUAAAUAAGAAUUCUAAUAAGUAAUAAAUUGGAAAAGCAUUAGAAGAAAAAUAAGAGAAAUGUUUUUUGUCCUUUAUUUUUCUACCUGAAAUCAACUACUAACAUAGUACUUAGUGGUAAAACCUUGUGGGCCUUCAUUUGAAAAUCUGAAACAAAAGUAUCAUCUGUGUUCCCUAAUAGUGAUUAUUAUUCAGUGUGGUUCUGAUAGUUUUAGUCAAUGUAAAGAGAUGAUGACAAAUUACCUUAACUAUUGGAAAAAUGAGAUCAAAUUGUCUUUUUUAUCUCACCCUUUUUUACAGUUGCUAUGUCU